RNAcentral lists this non-coding RNA (185 nucleotides) under Chromatiales bacterium. RNAcentral's name for it is "6S RNA". It matches the Rfam family "6S / SsrS RNA". From Rfam's summary of the family: E. coli 6S RNA was the first non coding RNA to be sequenced, but its function was unknown until recently. Lineage: Bacteria; Pseudomonadati; Pseudomonadota; Gammaproteobacteria; Chromatiales. The record is from RNAcentral.
CAUACCCUGUAACGCCCGUUAGUGAACUGGAAAAUACUCUUGAGCCUAAUAAACUGCCCGGGGGACAGAGUAUUGAUAUUAUUGAGCAGGCCCGCUACCGGCGGGAAGCCUACGAUAUCAUCAAUGUCCCCACCUGAACCUCUGGUUCAAGGGCGAAGGUUCACGACGACGAGUAUGGGGAAUGC